Molecule: long non-coding RNA, 239 nt
Filed under: Carica papaya (papaya)
Lineage: Eukaryota; Viridiplantae; Streptophyta; Magnoliopsida; Brassicales; Caricaceae
Description: long non-coding RNA (CPAP_LNC005653)
Source: RNAcentral
CUGGAGGAGUGAAGGCAGGGAUAGAGAGUGUUUUGGGUGCUAACAGAGAAGGUAGGCAUGGAAGGGUGGAUUGUGUGUACUCUGGAAAUUAGGGAGUAGGAAAGAGAGGCCUGUAGUGCGUGGGUGUGAGGGAUCGGGAUAGAGGUGUAUUGGUGUAGAUGUGUGGUGUGCGGGUGUGAGUUGCAUGUGCAUAUAGGUUGGUAUAGCUGCUGUAAAUUUAGAAGUUUGGUAAGUGAAUG